UACGAAGGGGGCUAGCGUUGUUCGGAAUUCCUGGGCGUAAAGGGCGCGUAGGCGGCGUGUCAAGUCAGGCGUGAAAGCCCCGGGCUCAACCUGGGAACCGCGCUUGAGACUGGCAUGCUCGAGUUCGGGAGAGGAUGGUGGAAUUCCCAGUGUAGAGGUGAAAUUCGUAGAUAUUGGGAAGAACACCGAUGGCGAAGGCAGCCAUCUGGACCGACACUGACGCUGAGGCGCGAAAGCGUGGGGAGCAAACAGG
RNAcentral lists this ribosomal RNA (253 nucleotides) under uncultured bacterium. Its description in RNAcentral is "partial 16S ribosomal RNA". It matches the Rfam family "Bacterial small subunit ribosomal RNA", at positions 524 to 776 of the family's 1533-position model. The record is from RNAcentral.